RNAcentral lists this ribosomal RNA (999 nucleotides) under Lactococcus sp. Its description in RNAcentral is "bacterial SSU rRNA". It matches the Rfam family "Bacterial small subunit ribosomal RNA", at positions 42 to 1028 of the family's 1533-position model. The record is from RNAcentral. Lineage: Bacteria; Bacillati; Bacillota; Bacilli; Lactobacillales; Streptococcaceae.
GCUGGUGACUAGACUGCAAGUCGAGCGAUGAUUAAAGAUAGCUUGCUAUUUUUAUGAAGAGCGGCGAACGGGUGAGUAACGCGUGGGAAAUCUGCCGAGUAGCGGGGGACAACGUUUGGAAACGAACGCUAAUACCGCAUAACAAUGAGAAUCGCAUGAUUCUUAUUUGAAAGAAGCAAUUGCUUCACUACUUGAUGAUCCCGCGUUGUAUUAGCUAGUUGGUAGUGUAAAGGACUACCAAGGCGAUGAUACAUAGCCGACCUGAGAGGGUGAUCGGCCACACUGGGACUGAGACACGGCCCAGACUCCUACGGGAGGCAGCAGUAGGGAAUCUUCGGCAAUGGGGGCAACCCUGACCGAGCAACGCCGCGUGAGUGAAGAAGGUUUUCGGAUCGUAAAACUCUGUUGUUAGAGAAGAACGUUAAGUAGAGUGGAAAAUUACUUAAGUGACGGUAUCUAACCAGAAAGGGACGGCUAACUACGUGCCAGCAGCCGCGGUAAUACGUAGGUCCCAAGCGUUGUCCGGAUUUAUUGGGCGUAAAGCGAGCGCAGGUGGUUUCUUAAGUCUGAUGUAAAAGGCAGUGGCUCAACCAUUGUGUGCAUUGGAAACUGGGAGACUUGAGUGCAGGAGAGGAGAGUGGAAUUCCAUGUGUAGCGGUGAGAUGCGUAGAUAUAUGGAGGAACACCGGAGGCGAAAGCGGCUCUCUGGCCUGUAACUGACACUGAGGCUCGAAAGCGUGAGGAGCAAACAGGAUUAGAUACCCUGGUAGUCCACGCCGUAGACGAUGAGUGCUAGCUGUAGGGAGCUAUAAGUUCUCUGUAGCGCAGCUAACGCAUUAAGCACUCCGCCUGGGGAGUACGACCGCAGGGUGAGACUCAAAGGAAUUGACGGGAGCCCGCACAAGCGUGGGAGCAUGUGGUUAAUUCGAAGCAACGCGAAGACCUUACUCGGACUUGACAUCUCAUGCUAUCCUAGACAUAAGAAUUCCUUCCGAACCG